Molecule: ribosomal RNA, 440 nt
Filed under: uncultured bacterium
Lineage: Bacteria
Description: bacterial SSU rRNA
Rfam family: Bacterial small subunit ribosomal RNA
Source: RNAcentral
CCUACGGGAGGCAGCAGUGGGGAAUAUUGCACAAUGGGGGAAACCCUGAUGCAGCAACGCCGCGUGAGCGAUGAAGGCCUUCGGGUCGUAAAGCUCUGUCCUAAGGGAGGAUUCCUAAGGGAACCUAAGGGGGAACCCCGGGCUAAUUACGUGCCAGCAGCCGCGGUAAUAGGUAGGGGGCUAGGGUUAUCCGGAAUUACUGGGCGUAAAGGGUGCGUAGGCGGCCCUUCAAGUCAGAGGUGAAAGGCUACGGCUCAACCGUAGUAAGCCUUUGAAACUGUAGGGCUUGAGUGUAGGAGAGGAGAGUGGAAUUCCCAGUGUAGCGGUGAAAUGCGUAGAUAUUGGGAGGAACACCAGUUGCGAAGGCGGCUCUCUGGACUGUAACUGACGCUGAGGCACGAAAGCGUGGGGAGCGAACAGGAUUAGAUACCCCUGUAGUC